Molecule: ribosomal RNA, 227 nt
Filed under: uncultured bacterium
Lineage: Bacteria
Description: partial 16S ribosomal RNA
Rfam family: Bacterial small subunit ribosomal RNA
Source: RNAcentral
GACGAACGCUGGCGGCGUGCUUAACACAUGCAAGUCGAGCGGUAAGGCCCUUUCGGGGGUACACGAGCGGCGAACGGGUGAGUAACACGUGGGUGACCUCGCCCUCCAGCUCUGGGAGUAAGCCUGGGAAACUGGGUCUAAUACUGGAUAUGACUCCACGGUGCAUGUCGUGGGGUGGAAAGCCUUGUGCGGCUGAGGAUGGGCCCGCGGCCUAUCAGCUUGUUGGU